This 253-nucleotide ribosomal RNA is filed under the name uncultured bacterium. RNAcentral's name for it is "partial 16S ribosomal RNA". It matches the Rfam family "Bacterial small subunit ribosomal RNA", at positions 524 to 776 of the family's 1533-position model. The record is from RNAcentral.
UACGGAGGGUGCAAACGUUGUUCGGAAUCAUUGGGCGUAAAGCGCACGCAGGCGGUCUGGCAGGUCGGAUGUGAAAUCCCGGGGCUCAACCCCGGAAUUGCGUUCGAAACCUCCAGGCUGGAGUCACAGAGGGAGAGGUGGAAUUCCUGGUGUAGAGGUGAAAUUCGUAGAUAUCAGGAGGAACACCGGUGGCGAAGGCGACCUCUUGGCUGAUGACUGACGCUGAGGUGCGAAAGCGUGGGGAGCAAACAGG